Molecule: ribosomal RNA, 497 nt
Filed under: uncultured bacterium
Lineage: Bacteria
Description: partial 16S ribosomal RNA
Rfam family: Bacterial small subunit ribosomal RNA
Source: RNAcentral
GAUGAACGCUGGCGGCGUGCCUAAUACAUGCAAGUCGAGCGAACAGACGAGGAGCUUGCUCCUCUGACGUUAGCGGCGGAAGGGUGAGUAACACGUGGAUAACCUACCUAUAAGACUGGGAUAACUUCGGGAAACCGGAGCUAAUACCGGAUAAUAUAUUGAACCGCAUGGUUCAAUAGUGAAAGACGGUUUUGCUGUCACUUAUAGAUGGAUCCGCGCCGCAUUAGCUAGUUGGUAAGGUAACGGCUUACCAAGGCAACGAUGCGUAGCCGACCUGAGAGGGUGAUCGGCCACACUGGAACUGAGACACGGUCCAGACUCCUACGGGAGGCAGCAGUAGGGAAUCUUCCGCAAAGGGCGAAAGCUUGACGGAGCAACGCCGCGUGAGUGAUGAAGGUCUUCGGAUCGUAAAACUCUGUUAUUAGGGAAGAACAAAUGUGUAAGUAACUAUGCACGUCUUGACGGUACCUAAUCAGAAAGCCACGGCUAACUACGUG